UACGAAGGGGGCUAGCGUUGCUCGGAAUUACUGGGCGUAAAGCGCACGUAGGCGGCUUCUUAAGUCAGGGGUGAAAUCCUGGAGCUCAACUCCAGAACUGCCUUUGAUACUGAAGAUCUUGAGUUCGGGAGAGGUGAGUGGAACUGCGAGUGUAGAGGUGAAAUUCGUAGAUAUUCGCAAGAACACCAGUGGCGAAGGCGGCUCACUGGCCCGAUACUGACGCUGAGGCACGAAAGCGUGGGGAGCAAACAGG
Molecule: ribosomal RNA, 253 nt
Filed under: uncultured bacterium
Lineage: Bacteria
Description: partial 16S ribosomal RNA
Rfam family: Bacterial small subunit ribosomal RNA
Source: RNAcentral